Long non-coding RNA from Aegilops tauschii subsp. strangulata, 1361 nucleotides. RefSeq lists it as uncharacterized. The record is from RefSeq and is a predicted model, not a curated record. Lineage: Eukaryota; Viridiplantae; Streptophyta; Magnoliopsida; Poales; Poaceae.
UCGGCACGACAUACCACCAACGAUCGUCCACACACCCCCGUCGCGGCACCACCAAGAAUCUUGCCCCCGCCCGCCGUACAGUCCUUGGUACCUCUUCCAUUUCCCCCAGCCUGGAGCACGGCGAGUCGUUCAGCAUGGUCUGCGAUGGGAGAGGAAGAAGAGGGCCUAUUUGCAACUGGGAUCUACUCGCAUUGUGCAAACUGAACUCCUCCCUAUCCGCAUCAAUUUGUUCCGUGCGCAUGUUCGAUGGUUUGUUAAUUAAAGAGUGGAGAAUGGAUGAAGAAGAAGAUUAAUUAAGUUCAGCAAAGGCAUCCAAGACUACUCCCUUGACGGUCAGAAUCAUUGCCACAUGAAAAUACUUCUAUUGGUUUGCAUGAAUUAGUCUGUUCUUUUCAUGAAUGUUCUGUAGAGACAAUUCUACUAUGCUAUCUGCCCUAGCUUCAAAAUAAAAUCAGCUGCUUAACUAGAAGUGAGUACAAAUAAUACAUCUUCUAUGAUUAUUGGUUAGGUGCUUGCAUGUGAUUUUUUAACUACAUGGAUAAUUUGGAUCUCAAUAUUUAUCUAUGUAUAACUUCUCAUUGUUCUGUUUCAUAGCUCACAUCGUAUGUUAGUUGUAAAAAGAUGAAAUUCAAACGGGCUUUACCAGCAACUAUGAACUGGUUGAUGCUACAUGUCGGAGCUUAUUUUUGAACAUAUGAAUAGCGAAAUUUUCACACCCAGGCUUUCCAAUGUCAUACUGAUUUGUCUGAUUUUGACCAAGGUUGUGAGUUAAGGUGUCUAAGCUGCAUUUUGUCAGGGCCAUGCGGUGACAUCAAGCAAUGCAAUGGAACAAAAAAAAUGCAUGCGCACGUAUUUUUUUAGUUUUGAGCUUUAUAAAUGUCAUGUACUAAUAUCUACUUGCAAGUUACAAAUAUGAUGAGACACUAUCCUCAACACCCCCCUUUUCUCUUCAAACACACUCAGUGCAACGGUUGACACUCUUAGAUAACCAAGAUAACCUCUAGGCAAUCAAGCAUUGAUAAUCCAAUAAAAUUGAAGCAUGAUAUAUACUCUGUCCAUGCAUGUCACACCUUUGUUCUUGGAAUUGUUAGUGCCAGAUUAGUCUUAUAAUUCUUUUUUAAAAUAUGACCCUUAAUGUCAGCUAAGAAUACCACAGCAAUGCGCGGUGCACCAUCAUAUCCUAUAUAACCAAAUAGAUUAUUCCACUAAUAUAUUUGUCUCAACAUGUACACAUAUAAUAUCAAUAAUUAAAUAAAAUAAGUCAUAUGUAUCUUUAGUUUUACUUCUCAUAUUACCAAUCAAUUUUCCAUAUUAAAAAAAAUCAAAUCUCACCAAAUAUAUUAUAACCAGUUCCCGCAGCA